This 95-nucleotide ribosomal RNA is filed under the name Staphylococcus aureus. The record is from RNAcentral. Lineage: Bacteria; Bacillati; Bacillota; Bacilli; Caryophanales; Staphylococcaceae.
GGUCACACCUGUUCCCAUGCCGAACACAGAAGUUAAGCUCCUUAGCGUCGAUGGUAGUCGAACUUACGUUCCGCUAGAGUAGAACGUUGCUAGAC